Molecule: RNA transcript, 6194 nt
Organism: Strigops habroptila (Kakapo)
Lineage: Eukaryota; Metazoa; Chordata; Aves; Psittaciformes; Psittacidae
Gene: GRID2
Gene name: glutamate ionotropic receptor delta type subunit 2
Exons: 17
Source: RefSeq, a predicted model, not a curated record
CAUUUUCCCCUUGAGGCCAGGUGUCCCUGAUUUUUAUCUUUUUUUUUUCUUUUCCCCUUCAAGCAAUGUCCCUGACUCAGUUGUCAAAGACCGAGAAGCAAAAGUGCCCACCUAGCUUUGAACUUGAUACCUGCAGUGGAGUUACAAGGUUAAAUAAAUGGGGUGAUUGUGGUGUUGGGCGCUUUUUUUUUUUUUUUAAGCUAAGCGUAACAGUUCAAAAACAUCUUCUCCCCGCCCUUCCCUCCCCUAAUGUAUUUUUAGGCUGUAUGCACUCCUGCCUAUGUCUGUUCCUCAGUCCCAGCUGAAGAUUUCAAGGGAGAUGAGAGCUCUAUUUUGUUUCUCCCUUGUAUUGCAGAUAGGGGGAGGAGGUGGUUAUUAGAGAGAAGCGCUCUCUGUCUCUCGCUCUCUCCGUCUCUCCCUCUCUGGCUGAUAGCACUUAUCUCUCGCGCUCUCUCCUUCUCCUAGGUGAUCCAUUUCUAGGCAACGUGCUGGCUGCUGCCGGAGCUGCCAGCUCUCUCCGCAUCCCACCAGCAAAGCAAGCUCCAAAAGCAACCUGCAGACCAUCAUCUGCUCCUCUCCUCUGCCUCGCUCCGGGCACUCCUCCUCUCGCUCCUGCCCUGUCCAGCCACUACCUCCCGCGGCAGAGACAGCACGCUGGGCUUCCUUUGCAGAUUGCUUUAUUUUUUUUUUUCCCCCUCCAGUUGUGCGAAGCAAUUUUUCUAAGCGAAGGGUGUGUGUGUGGGGGGAAAUCUCUGCAUUACUAUCUGCAUUACCUUGAAGUUCACUUUGUUUUUUGGCCUCCGGGGGGGCUUUUCCUGCAGGAAUCUGGUUGCUGGAAGCGGGAUCGGCUGCUCUCGCGGUUGGCCGCUCCUCCCCCCUCGCUGAGGGCAAGCUCUUUGCUGCGGGCUCCCGGGGCUUCUCCGGGGGUUGUGUGUGUGCUUCUGUGUGCGUGUCUGCGCGCGUGUGUGUGUGUGAGCGUGUGCGUGGCGUAGGUUGGAAGUUCCUGUGCAGCAGCCGGGACCGAGCGGAUCCCUGGACCCGGCGGAAGGAUGGGGAUUGUCUGACCGGCAGCAGCGGUUGCUGCCCGCGGUGGCGCCUGGGCUGGAUGGAUUCGCUGCCGGCGUUCCCAGCGACUCCGGUGCUGCCCAGGAGCCCCUCGAAGUGAAGCGGGGGUUCGCCGAAGAGCGAGGCGCUCCCAGCCCCGGCUCGCUCCCUGCCCAGCCGAGGCUCUGCGCCGACGACCGGGAUUUACACGCUCCUUCGGCGGCACCUCAAACUCUUGGGUUUCCUGCGCCGCGCUGUCUUCCGCUGUUGCACCGCUUGGCGAAGAGAUCUGUUGUUACAAAGCCUGGACCUCCAGAGGAGAUGGAAGUUUUCUCCCUCAUACUGGUCGUGUCCGUCUGUUGGACUCGAACCUGGAAAGCGGCGAUUGCAGAUUCAAUCAUUCAUAUCGGAGCAAUUUUUGAUGAAUCUGCCAAAAAAGAUGAGGAAGUUUUUCGAAUGGCAGUUGCUGAUCUCAACCAAAAUGAUGAAAUCUUACAAACGGAGAAAAUCACAUGUUCAGUGACAUUUGUGGAUGGCAACAAUCCAUUUCAGGCAGUUCAAGAAGCCUGUGACCUGAUGAACCAAGGCAUCCUGGCUCUUGUUAGCUCCAUUGGCUGUACGUCAGCAGGAUCCCUGCAGUCGCUGGCAGAUGCCAUGCACAUCCCUCACCUCUUCAUCCAGCGCUCAACAGCAGGAACGCCAAGAAGUGGUUGCGGACUCACCAGGAGCAACCGCAACGAUGACUACACGCUCUCCGUCCGCCCCCCUGUCUACUUAAAUGAUGUCAUCUUCAGGGUGGUCACAGAAUAUGCCUGGCAGAAAUUCAUUGUUUUUUAUGAUAAUGACUAUGAUAUCCGUGGAAUACAAGAGUUUUUGGACAAAGUAUCUCAACAGGGAAUGGAUGUAGCAUUGCAGAAAGUAGAAAACAACAUCAAUAAAAUGAUCACGGGGCUCUUUGCCACUAUGCGAAUAGAAGAACUGAACCGCUACCGGGAUACUCUGAGACGGGCUAUUCUUAUAAUGAACCCUUCGACAGCCAAAUCAUUCAUAACAGAGGUCGUGGAGACUAAUUUGGUUGCUUUCGACUGUCACUGGAUCAUUAUAAAUGAGGAAAUAAAUGAUGUGGAUGUGCAGGAGCUAGUGAGAAGGUCAAUUGGAAGGUUAACAAUUAUUCGACAAACAUUUCCAGUCCCCCAAAACAUAAGUCAGCGCUGUUUCCGUGGGAACCACAGAAUAUCUUCAUCACUGUGUGAUCCGAAGGACCCCUUCUCCCAAAGCAUGGAGAUUUCAAACCUAUAUAUAUAUGACACCGUCCUCCUGUUGGCAAAUGCUUUUCAUAAGAAGCUGGAGGACAGGAAGUGGCACAGCAUGGCCAGCCUCACCUGCAUCAGGAAGAACUCUAAACCCUGGCAAGGAGGACGAUCAAUGUUGGAAACUAUCAAGAAGGGUGGAGUGAAUGGCUUGACUGGAGAACUGGAAUUUGUAGAAAAUGGGGGGAAUCCCAAUGUGCAUUUUGAAAUUUUGGGGACAAAUUAUGGAGAAGAUCUUGGCAGAGGCAUCCGCAAGCUUGGCUGCUGGAAUCCCAUCACUGGUCUGAAUGGGUCACUAACAGACAGAAAGUUGGAGAAUAACAUGCGAGGAGUGGUUCUGCGUGUGGUGACUGUGCUGGAAGAGCCCUUUGUCAUGGUGUCUGAAAAUGUUCUGGGAAAACCAAAGAAGUAUCAAGGCUUCUCAAUAGAUGUGUUGGAAGCCUUGGCUACUUACCUUGGCUUUAAGUACGAAAUUUACGUUGCACCAGAUCACAAGUAUGGGAGUCCUCAGGAUGAUGGGUCAUGGAACGGACUGAUAGGAGAACUUGUAUUUAAGAGAGCUGACAUAGGGAUCUCUGCCCUAACCAUCACCCCCGACAGGGAAAAUGUGGUGGACUUCACAACACGUUACAUGGACUACUCUGUGGGCGUGCUGCUUCGAAAGGCAGAGAAGACAGUGGACAUGUUUGCCUGCUUGGCACCAUUUGACCUCUCCCUGUGGGCAUGCAUAGCUGGCACUGUGCUGUUAGUAGGGCUACUGGUCUACCUCUUGAACUGGCUCAACCCUCCACGCCUUCAGAUGGGAUCCAUGACCUCCACAACCCUCUACAACUCCAUGUGGUUUGUGUAUGGAUCCUUUGUGCAACAAGGAGGAGAGGUUCCAUACACAACCCUGGCAACCCGGCUGAUGAUGGGAGCUUGGUGGCUUUUUGCUUUGAUUGUCAUCUCCUCUUACACAGCAAACCUAGCAGCCUUCCUCACCAUCACACGCAUUGAGAACUCCAUCCAGUCUCUCCAGGAUCUCUCAAGGCAGACGGAUAUUCCUUAUGGCACUGUGUUGGACUCUGCAGUCUAUGAGCACGUCCGAGUGAAAGGGAUGAAUCCUUUUGAGAGGGACAGCAUGUAUUCCCAAAUGUGGAGGAUGAUUAACAGAAGUAAUGGUUCAGAGAACAAUGUCUUGGAGUCGACUGCAGGCAUCCAAAAGGUGAAACACGGGAACUAUGCCUUUGUGUGGGAUGCAGCAGUACUGGAGUAUGUGGCCAUCAAUGACGCAGACUGCUCUUUUUAUACGGUUGGAAACGCUGUGGCAGACAGAGGAUAUGGGAUCGCACUGCAGCACGGCAGCCCCUACCGAGAUGUCUUCUCACAAAGGAUUUUGGAGCUACAGCAGAAUGGCGACAUGGACAUACUGAAGCAUAAGUGGUGGCCAAAGAACAGUCAAUGUGAUCUUUACUCAUCUGUGGAUACAAAACAGAAAGGAGGUGCCCUGGACAUAAAAAGUUUUGCAGGUGUUUUCUGCAUCCUCGCUGCUGGGAUUGUCCUAUCCUGUUUCAUUGCAAUGCUGGAAACGUGGUGGAAUAAAAGGAAAGGCUCCCGGGUUCCGUCAAAAGAGCUUCCAUGAAAUCCAUUGGCUCUUCCAGGCCACUAGUCCAGAAUCGGGGGUCAGAUUGGGCCAGUUUGUGGUCAGCAAGCCAACCCUUUUUCCUGGUGGCUGCCAUCUUGUGCUCCAGAAUGCAAGCAUUUAUACUGAAAAAAAUUGUCUUAUGGUUGCGAAGAUAACAUUUUGGUCGCGUACCAGAAGUAACCCAUUCAGUGAUGUCUGCCUGAGUCUGCAGACAGCCUUAAACGGUAGCUCUGAGAGAAGUAUCAACCGCCCCAGUAAUCUCAAUGGGAUGUUGACUCUGAAGCCUGAUGAUAAUUUAAAUGUGAAAACUGCUGAAUAUUUCACUACUGAUCACACAAGAGAGAAGAGGAAAGAUCAUAUUAUGGAGAUAUGCACAAUCUUACUGACGACAAGGAGAUCGACCUGGAGCACCUCCAUAGGCGCGUGAACAGCCUCUGCACGGACGACGACAGUCCCCAUAAACAGUUCUCCACCUCGUCGAUUGACUUGACCCCGCUGGACAUUGACACUUUACCCACACGUCAGGCACUGGAGCAAAUCAGUGACUUCAGAAACACUCACAUCACCACAACCACCUUCAUACCAGAACAAAUCCAGACUCUGAGCCGCACGCUGUCUGCUAAAGCUGCUUCGGGUUUCUCCUUCGGCAGUGUGCCUGAGCACCGAACUGGCCCUUUCAGGCACAGGGCACCCAACGGUGGCUUUUUCAGAAGCCCCAUCAAAACAAUGUCAUCUAUCCCUUACCAACCAACUCCCACUCUGGGGCUGAAUAUCGGUAGUGACCCAGACCGAGGCACCUCCAUCUGAGCAUCACACCAAGUUUCUUCACUGUUUGUUUUUUAGGACUCCCUUUGCAAGGAGCAGCUGUAAUAUCAUGGGACUAACAUGGAUGUAACCUUUUUUUUUUUGGGGGGGGGGGGGGGAGUGGUUUUUUUGGUGGGUUUUUUUUUUUUUGUUUUUUUUUUUGGGGGUUUUCUUUAAAUUUUUUGGGAGUUGUUUUUGUUUGGGUUUUGGGGUUUUGUUUUUGGUUGUUUUAUUUUAUUUAAGAAUGAGGAUUAUUAGCAACAACUCUUCCUCCUCCUCUUCUCUGCUUUCUCAGUCUGGUCUCCUCUGUCUCCCCUUAUUCUCUUUACUACUUGAAUCACUUAUUCUUUGGUUUAUCGCCGCGUUAGGUUUUGGUUACUUCAGGCUUUUCAUAUACUUUAAAUAUAGGAAACGUGCAGCAAUUCAUGCAUAGAAAAACCCUGAGGAUUACUUUAUAGAAGGGCAUUUGCUCCUCCUCCCCCUCUGCCUUUUUUUACUAUAAUUGCAAUAACUUAAGUCCUUUCCAUGUAUUCUGCUGCAUCCAGUCAGAGCUCCACUGCUGUGUGUCCUUUUAACUGUGGACCAAAGGCAAACCCUGCAGUUUAAAAAAAUGGAAAAAUUUAAAAAAAAAAAAAAAAGGGGAAAAAGAAAAAAGAAAAAAAAAAGGAAAACAAAACAAAUGAAGUUAAAAGACCAUUCAGGCCCCGUAAUACCAGAAUGCAAUUUUGUAGGAUUACAAAAAGCCAUUACUAUGCCAGUAAAGACUACAGUUAAAUCUACUUUUGCACUGCAACAGUGCAUAUGACCUUUAUGUGAUUGUACAGUGAUAAAAGUUUUUCUUAUGUACAGUAAACUGUAUCAUAUGGCAGAAGCCUCUCUUGUGUUAAAUAAAUUAGUAUCUCAUACAUAUAUAUAUACAUAUAUACACACAGGUAUGUAUAUAUAUAUACAUGUAUAUAUAGCUAAAAGAUGGCAGCCAUUGCUAUUGCAAUUCAUUUAAUAAAGCUUUAGUAAAAAUGUGUUGUAUACAGGAAAGAUGUACAGUGCAGGGGGUCUUUUCAUUUAGAAAAGACAGGUUGCUUUAACGUGAUUCUGACUUGCAUCGUUUGCCAACAGAGCAUAUUUUAUACUUUUUUAUUAGGACAUCUGGGGCAAUUUAACGUUUGUACCUAGAUGUAACUCCUUUGGUUAGGUUUUGCAUUGGCUAUUGAGCAUUCUAUAAGGCUAACCUUGAUAAUUUUACUUUUAAUUAAUUAGACAAAUGGAACUCUCUCUUAGGUAUACCAUGUUCAUGAACAACUAAUAUAGCUGUAGAGAAGUUUAAACAUAGGUCAAAGGUUAAUAAAUUAUUUUCCAGAUCAGUACAGUUGAUCAAUACAAUAAUGAUGUUAGUGGAGAAAAAAAAAAGCCCU